This is a long non-coding RNA of Gorilla gorilla gorilla (western lowland gorilla), 7342 nucleotides long. RefSeq lists it as uncharacterized. The transcript has 4 exons. The record is from RefSeq and is a predicted model, not a curated record. Lineage: Eukaryota; Metazoa; Chordata; Mammalia; Primates; Hominidae.
CCCGGCCCACGGGGCAGCCGAGAAGCUCACUUGCACUCCGGGACGCAGCGGCGGGCGGACUGAGCCCGCGGAGCACGUUCACUGACGGACCAGGGAGGGGUCCGCGCCAAGACCCGCCUCCGGACCAGGCCCCACCUCCUGAGCCAGGCCCCCGCCCCCGAUUCUGACUCCGCCCUCUCUGUUCUUCGGUGGAGACUCCGGGAAAAACCUGCCUCCCAGUCUGCCCUCUCUCCGUCUGUCUGUGCUUGUUUUUCUACGUUUAUCCCUGUCGCUUUCCCCACUUAUUCUGCAGGCAUGGCGCGCCCCCAGUGCCGGCUCGGUGCCAGGGCUGGGAGAUCCGGGGGUGAAUCGUGAGCCCGGCCCACAGCGAGCUUGCAGUCUAGAGAUCAAGGCAGUCUUGUCCACAACCUGCUGUCACACAAAGCAGAUGUAGCUGGUGUAGCACCAGGGGCUGCAAUCAAGUGCGGUGGGGCGGCAAUAGUGACCACGGAAAUAAUCAGAAUUGCUUUUAAUUCAGCUCCUACUAUAUUCCCGUCAUCCCUGAGCCUCACAAUCAUCCUCCAAGGUAGGUAUUUUUGUCUUUCUCUAACAGAUGAAAACUCUGAGUUUCAGAAGAAUUAAAUGACAUCCUCCCAAAAGAGAGACAGUAUAAGAAUCCAAGUCAACCUGAGUCCAAAACCAGUGGCUCUUACACUGUGUGGCUUUAUGGACGACAUGGAGUUUAAGUUUACCUUCAAGGAUGAGCAACACUUUUCUUCAAGCAGAAAAAGAAGGGAAUGGGUGAACAAGGUCCCAGGAUGUUCGCUUUGGCAGAUGAUUAGAAUACGUGCUGACUUGAUAGCCGCAACUGUCCUGAUAAGAAAGUACGCCGGCCUGGCUGGGCGUGGUGGCUUACGCCUGUAAUCCGAGGAUUUUGGGAGGCCGAGGCGGGUGGAUCACUUGAUGUCAGGAGUUUGAGACCAGCCUGUCCAACAUGGUGAAACCCCGUCUGUACUAAAAAUACAAUAAUUAGCCGAGCAUGAUGGCAUGUGCCUGUAAUCCCAGCUACUCAGGAGGCUGAGGCACGAGAAUCGCUUGAACCUGGAAGGCAGAGGUUGCAGUUACUUUCCCGACAUUGCACCACUGCACUCCAGCCUUGGCGACAAGAGCGAAAUUUUGUCUCAAAAAAGAAAGAAAGAAAGCACUCAGGCCUGACUGAGGACCACAGCAGUGGACAUGGAGGGAGGAGGCUGGGGGUAGUUGAAUUGGUAUGAUAUGUCACUGAGUAAACGAAGGAAGGGACAGAAAGAGAACUCCAAAGUGUCAAAAGCCUGGACAACAGACAGAAAGCAUCCUUGUCAUAUCAUUUAAAGCACCUGUUGGGCCAAAUAGGGAGCACCUUUCAGAAUCCAUGUGCACAAGAUCUCAGCAAUUCUACAUCCAAGAAUGUAACCUACAUCCAAGAAUGUACUGGAAUUUAAUUCCACAUCCAAGAAUCCCCAUAGGUAGCAAAGAUGUAUAUUUAAGGGUAUUCUCUCAGCUUUGUUUUUAUGUUAGGAGAUUGGGAACAACCUAAAUGCCCAUCAGCUGGUGACUUGCUAGGUUAACUAUUCACAAAUGGAAUACUAGGUAGCCUCCUAAAAGAGGAAAGCAAUUCUACAUAUCCUGAUACAGUGUGGUCACCAGAUAGAUGGCUAAGAUACAAAUAAAACAAACAAGUUGCAGUGUUAGAGUAUGCUAUGUAUCACUCCUUUUUAAGGACAAAAAGAGGAUAUACUUUAACUUUUUAAGAUACCAAAGUAUUUAUUUAUUUAAAAUUUUUUUUCACAGAAUUGUUAUAGCAUGUAGAACCAAAAAUUAUUUACAAAUGAAAUUAUUCAAUGUCUGAGAUUUGUGUCAAAAUAAUGGUAUGGGGGUUUAGUGAGUAAGCAUGUAGGUAGAACAAGAUUGUCCAUGAGCUGAUAGUUGUUGAAGCUGGGUGAUCACCUGGGUGUUUUAUACUAUUUGGGUGUUAAACUAUUUUUUUUUUCUAUUCUUGUGUAUGUGUCAAAUUUCCACUUAAGAAAAUGGGGGAAAAUGGUGUCAGCCCUCCAUUCCAGCUGAACACACCAUGUUAGUUCAUGCCCCAUCACACCACUCUUCUAGCCAUCUGUCAAUCUUCUCUGCCUGGCAAAUUUCUACUCUUUCAUCAGGACCCAGGAUAAUUAUCACCUUCUCUGAGAGGGCUUUUCCAACCCCUAUAGUCAGAAGCAUUCUUUCUCUAUGCUUGGGGCCCGCUGAGAAAUGUCUCUAAUCCUGUCGCAAAUACAUAUUCCAGUGUCAUUAUCCAUCUCCCUAGUAGACAGUGAACAUUUCCAUCAAUGAGACAAUGUCUCAACUAUCUUCUUUCUGUCUCAACCCUUAACGCUGGCACUUAAUAAUUGUUUGUUAAAUUCAUGGGUCAGGUCUAGUGAAGACAAUGAUUACUGGUUUGGUUUGGUACAUACUGACCUUGAGAAGUCAAAGGGAUAUAGGAGGAGAGAAAGUGAAUGAGGAACUGAUGUUACUGAGCCUGUGCUAGGAGACUGCUGGGGCAAGGAAUAGAGUGAGGAGAAAGGAGGCAAGGCUCCUGCUGGCAAGGACCUCACUUUCAUUUCAGCUGGGGAAGAGCAUGGAAAGAUGUCAUUCUAGAGCAUGGUAAGUGCCAUGGAUGAAAUAGACAAGGCAAAACUUAUUCCACUUCAGCAAAGCGAGUGUCAAUAUUCUACUUAUGGAUGAGUGGAUGAACACAUGUACAGAUGAAAUCACUUGUGCAAAGUUUACAGCUGUUAGUGCUGAACAGGAACAAGCCUUUGUCUGCCAUCACGUGAGGCCAUGCUUUUUCCUCUGCCCUUCACUGCCAUUCGACAUGCAGGUGACACUCUGGAGCUCGGACCGAACAUUCAGAUUUGGAGGUCAUUCUACAGGAGACAGUUGAAAUGAGGGCAGGGGAGAAGGUCUCCUAGAAACCACAAGAGAGGGAAAGUAACAGCAGCUGACUUUCACUGAGUACUUAGUACACUCCAGACCCCAUACUAAGCAUUUUUAUUUUUUUGAGAUGGAGUCUCACUCUGUUGCCCCGGCUGGAGUGCAGUGGUGCAAUCUCGGCUCACUGCAACCUCCUCUUCUUGGGUUCAAGCGAUUCUCCUGCCUCAGCCUCCCAAGUAGCUGGGACUACAGGUGUGGGCCACCACGCCCAGCUAAUUUUUUGUAUUUUUAGUAGAGACAGCAUUUCAUCGUGUUAGUCAGGAUGGUCUUGAUCUCCUGACCUCAGGAUCUGCCCGCCUCAGUCUCCCAAAGUGCUGGGAUUACAGGCAUGAGCCACCGCACCUGGCCCAUACUAAGCCUUUUACACUUUUAAAAGUAAAAGUGAAAUCACUUUGCACAAGUGAUUUCAUCUGAACAUGUGUUCAUCCACUCAUCCGUAAGUAGAAUAUUGACACUUGCUUUGCUGAAGUGGAAUAAGUUUUGCCUUGUCAAUUUAUUUAUUUAUUUAUUUAUUUAUUUAUUUAUUCUAUUAUAUAUUUAUUUAUUCCAUAUAACAACCCUCAUUAAGUAGGAACUCUUUUUUGAGGGACAGGGUAUUACUAUGUUGCCCAGGCUAGUCUUGAACUUCUGGCCUGUGGUGUUCCUCCUGCCUUGGCCCCACAAAGUGCUGAGAUUACAGGCUUCAGCCACCAUGCCCAGUCUAAAGUAGGAACUCUUAACAGUCCCACAUUUAUAGCCUGGGAAAAUGAAGCUUCGGAAGAAUGAAGUCAACAGAGCAACAGAGGUCACACACCUCGCAAACAGCAGAGCCCAAAUGUCUUACCAUGCACUACCCUUUUGAGAAAGAAGACUGAAAUCAGGAGCCUGGUAAGGAAAUGGUGGAAACAGUGAAAGAGAACAAGAUGCACUCUUUCAUUUGUGAGAUGAGAAACAGAAAAAAAGAAAUGUCCUGAGAGCCCGAGAAAGACUGUUAGGAAAGCAACUGGGGCAAGUGUCAGAGUCCAUGGAGAAACCCAGCAGGGAAACCUGAGGGUCAUGGCAACUGGCCAACACGAGGCGAUAAGGGACCUUUGACGGAGCUAUUUUGGGUGGUGCUAACCUUCUUUGCUACAGGCUCACAACUGGAGCAUCUGCUUGCUUCCUCUGACCUGCCCCCUGGACUCAUGUUGUCAUUCUUCUCACUCAACCUGUCUGCCUAGGGAAGAAGCCCUGGACUGUGUUUCCCCAAUCUCAGCAUUCCCAACCCUCCUGGCCCCCAACCCAGUACCUGCAGAGCUGACUCUAACCACCCAGUGCACCUCCCGCAGGCUGCAGCAGCCCCCAUCGAGGCCACUCAUUUACAGCACAGGCCCACACAGUCUGACAAAGGACAGCUGCAAUCCUCUGUCAACUGCAGUCCUUUCCCAGGCACAUGCUGGAUUGGGAAACAGGUGGGAGAAAAGAACAGGUAAGAGGUUCCUGUGGGAGUGAGUUAGCCUGGCAUUUACUGUGCCUCUUUGUGAAGAGCAGCCAACCUUUUCUGGCUUAAUCAGACUUGCCUAGAGCACUUGAAAAGAGUAGCUCUGAAGUCCAUGUGAUUUUGCUUCCCCACCCCCACCCCAACCAUGACUGAUUGGAACUGGAUAGAUGUCUUCCUCAGGAGGAGGAGCCAAGGGCUGUUUCCUGUCCCUGGACUUUGGAAUUGGGCCACCUAGUCAGUGAGUGGCCAAGAACCCAAUGAGGCUGCCCCAUGAAGGGAGCUGAGCUCAGUCAAAGAGAUCCAUGGCAGAGCACUAGGGUUAAUAAAGGCCCACGAACUCUUGUUGCUGAAGGCUCUAGGGCUGCCCCAUCCCUGCCCUUCCUGAGAUUUGGUGGAUCACCUCUUCCUGGGUUUCCACAAGUCCUCUCUCUCUCUCAAUAACCUAUUAAAUUGGGGUGUGAGCGGAUUCCUGUCCCUUGCAUCCAAAGUCUCCUUAGCUAUGAUGGAGUUCUAUAGGAAUGAGAGCAAGGGGCAGGGGUCCAAGGGUAGGAGGUUCUAAGUUUAGGACUUUAGAAAUAACAUUGUUAAGUGUGUUGAUGUCUAGGUCAGAAUGGAGGUGAUUCCUCCAUUCUUUGGAGGACACUUGAGGUGUCCUUCUUUCUUCAUCCACUAUCUAGUCCCAGCAGCCGCACUCUUAGCUGUCAGUCCAUCCCCAUCUCCUCCAGCUCCUCCAUGCUUCAACAGCACUUUAGAGAAGGCAGAGGGCCAGCAUGUGGCUUUCUUGCCUUCCCUGAGCAAACAGCCCGAGAGAGAAGCUGGUGUUGAUAGAGAGAGGCUCUCUUAUUGCAAAUUAGAUAAGCCCAAAUGUAAAAGCAUAUUCACAUUUAUCAAACAUCUCAUAGAUGUGGCACCUAUGGGAUUUCAAAAAACCCUUCAUAGAUAUUUGCCUCCCAAACCCACACAGCAGCCCCAUGAGGUAGACGUCAGUUUCGUUCCCUUCUACGUGUGGGAACUGGAGGAAUGUGACACGGAGAAUGCAGAGUUGAGUCCACGGUGAGGCCUCCAGUCCGUCCUUCCCUUGAAGAUGCUUGACCCGCAGCCGCGAUGGGCAGAACCACCCGCAUGACAGGCAGCAGAAUUGACAGGUCAGAACAAACGAGGCCCCAGGACACAGCAGACACAGCGCUGGGCUGCUGCGAGCCUGGCUAUUUCUGACUUGCCCUAGUUAGGGGCUCCCUUCCCAGGAUCGUUUUAUAAUCACAAGGUUGUUUGAUGUACGAUGUGACAUCCAUAGGACGCUACUGAAAAAAGCCUUGGUUUUUUUCAUACUUUUUCUGCCUUGCAGAAAAGGUGAGGUGAAGUUUUCAAACAGCCUGUGGUUGUAGCUUUCUUUCUAUUAUUGAUGGCCAUGUGUCCUGGCAACAGUUACAACUGCAACUCUGGGCAAAAAAUAGGUUGGAAGACUGUUUCAACGUUUUCUAUCAGGACAAGAUCAUACCGACACAGCUGAGGCCUGGGAAAAUAAGACAAAAUAUCCUUGUCAAUGAAUUUAUAAAAAUGCAAUGGUCUAGUAAAUAAUAUUAUAUCCUUAAGAUACAAAAUUAUUUAGCAAUUGUUUUUAAUAUAGAGAACACUUACGGUGGCCAGGCGCGGUGACUCACGCCUGUAAUCCCACCCAGCACUUUAAGAGGCCGAGGCGGGCGGAUACUUGAGGCCAGGAGUUCAAGACCAGCCUGGCCAACAUGGCUACACCCCGUCUCUACUAAAAAUACAAAAAUUAGCUGGGCAUGGUAGUGCGUGUCUGUGGUUCCAGCUACUCAGGAGGCUAAGGCAGUACUAGAGCCCAGGAGGUGGAGGUUGCAGUGAGCUGAGAUCACGCCAUUGCACUCUAGCCUGGGUGACAGAAUGAGACUCUGUCUCAGAAAAAAAAAGAAAGAAAAUGCUUAUGGUAAGUAAAACACCAAGGAGAAAGCAAGAUAUAUGGCCAGGCACGGUGGUUCAUGCUUGUAAUCCCAGCACUUUGGGAGGCCAAGGCAGGUGGAUCACCUGAGGCCAGGAGUUGGAGACCAGCCUGACCAACAUGGUGAAACACUGUCUCUACUAAAAAUACAAAAAAUUAGCUGGGCGUGGUCACGUGUGCCUGUAAUCCCAGCUACUUCGGAGGCUGAAGCAGGAGAAUUGCUUGAACCCAGGAGGUGGAGGUUGCAGUGAGCCAAGAUCGCACUACUACUGUACUCCAGCCUGGGUGACAGAGCGAGACUCCGUACCAAAAAAGAAAGAAAGAUGUAAAAUUGUAUUUACCAUAUAACUUUAGCUUUAAAAACAAUAAAAGAAAGGAAGAUUAUAUAGAAAUAACAAUAAAUAUUAACAGUGGUUGCCUCUGAAUAAUGACAAUAUGGGUGAUAUUUUUCUGUUUCCUAACAAUUUCUGUACUUUCUAGAUUUUGUCAAAUAAACAUAUAUUGUCUGAUAUUCAGGGCAAAAAAAGUAUUAAAAAGUUUUAGGAUGUAAUGACUAUCCUCUUAGGAGAAACUUGUACUAUUAAAUGUUUUAAGGUACCCUAAACUUUCUUUUUUUGUUUUCUUUUUUUUUGAGACAGGGUCUCACUCUGUCACCCAGGCUGGAGUGCAGUGGUGCGAUCUCGGCUCACCGCAACUUCCGCCUCCCAGGGUUCACACUGUUGCCCAGGCUGGAGUGUAGUAACCUCCCAAGAACUAGUCAACUUUGAUGGGCAAAGUCUGCUGACUCCAAAGGGCUAUGGGACACUCUUUAGGAGCCUGGCGGUGUCACUGGCCCACAAGGAAAGGAGCGUUACCAUCAGUGUCGGAAUGGAUGACAUCAACAAACUGCGCAUCACUGGGAUCUAAUCUGUCUUGGUGAGGUUUCCCGUUGAAUAAAG